Molecule: ribosomal RNA, 377 nt
Filed under: uncultured bacterium
Lineage: Bacteria
Description: bacterial SSU rRNA
Rfam family: Bacterial small subunit ribosomal RNA
Source: RNAcentral
AUACGUAGGAAGCGAGCGUUAUCCGGAAUUACUGGGCGUAAAGCGCGCGUAGGUGGUCUUUCAAGUCGAAUGUGAAAUUUCACGGCUUAACCGGGAAGGGUCAUUCGAUACUGUUGGACUAGAGAGCGGCAGGGGGAAGCGGAAUUCCCGGUGUAGUAGUGAAAUGCGUAGAUAUCGGGAGGAACACCAGUGGCGAAGGCGGCUUCCUGGGCUGUUUCUGACACUGAGGCGCGAAAGUGUGGGUAGCGAACAGAAUUAGAUACUCUGGUAGUCCACACCGUAAACGAUGGGUACUAGGUAUAGGGAGUAUCGACCCUCUUUGUGCCGAAGCUAACGCUUUAAGUACCCCGCCUGGGGACUACGGCCGCAAGGCUAAA